Molecule: long non-coding RNA, 21915 nt
Filed under: Hordeum vulgare
Lineage: Eukaryota; Viridiplantae; Streptophyta; Magnoliopsida; Poales; Poaceae
Description: long non-coding RNA (HVUL_LNC017619)
Source: RNAcentral
AUGUGUGGUGCAGCUGGCCAGCGUGCGGAUGCUGCCGUGGGCCAAGGCCAACCUCAACCCCACCGGCCAGGCGCUCAUUGUCUGCACCGUCGCCGGGAUGGCAUACUUUGUCGCCGCCGACAAGACCAUCCUCUCGCUGGCGAGGCGGCACUCGUACGAGAGCGCCCCCGACCACCUCAAGGACACCUCCUUCCAUGGCGACGCCGCAGCUCGUCCCCGUCCACCGGCAUUCUUCAGGCCUUGAGUAGAGAGUUAUAGUUAGCUGCUACCGCGCCGUUCGUCGAUGUCCCAAGAAACUGCUGCUUACUUAAUUAUCAUCGCCAUCGUCAUGCUUGCUUACAAUCUUGGAUAUAGUGGUGCCUCAUGCUGUAGCCCAGUGUAACUCGCAUGUAUAGUAUGCUAUAUGCGGGUGUUACAGUUAAUUAACGACAAUCAUUUUCUCCCUGUUUUAUUACUGCAUGCAAUUUGAAUCUUCUGAAUCGCCGAUGAACACUGCAUCCCCAAAAUGAGGACUGGAAGACGUCUCACUUGUCUGAAUUUCAGGUGCAAAUGUGCUAUAAUUAAAGACUGAAAAAUACAUUGGAAAGAUGGUGAAGCAGCUCACAUGCAUGGAGAAGGGCACAUGCCGCCGGGGAGCACAUGCUGCGGGUGUGGCCGGAAAACUGGGAGCGCCGCUGAAUAAGUAAAUUUAGAGCAUCUACAGCCAACCUGACGCCUCGUAUCGAUCUCAAAUGCCUGAGCAGACCGUUCGGUCACUACUCGGUCACGAAAAUACGAUUUAGAUGGAUCUUUUAAAACCGUCUUAUAUACCCGGGCUUACCGACAUCCUUCAUAUCCUCACGCAGAAAAAAUAUAGACUCGUUAUCAACAUUGAGCACCACUUGUUUCGGAUCUUGAUUCAUGAGAUCACCGUGUAGCCUUCCUAGCCACAUACCUUGACACUCUGCUUCACUUGAAGUCGAUCUCACCACUUUUUGCUUUCGUGAUAGCCAGCUUACUAUGCAUCCAUCAACGGAAUAUGCCACGUCCGAGGUACUCUUACCGUCGUCAACAAUUCCUUCCUUGUCAUUAUCACUGUAACCGAGUAGUUUCACCAUCUCCUUCUUGCUCAGCUCAAGACGAGGUUCCAUUGAAGCAUCAAUUGGAUUGCAACCAUUCAUGCCAAAAUUUUCAAGUACCUUCCUUGUGUAUGCCUCCUGGCAUAAUGUGAUCUCUUCUGGCUUAUGAUGUACCUCUGGUCUGAGGUAGCAACUCAAAAGACCUAGACCGUCCAUUUUGAAAAGCUCCUUCAUUUGUAGCUUGAACUUUGCAAUCACCUCUUCAUCUGCUCCAGUAAUCAAUAGAUCAUCAUCGUAUAUAGUUUCCAACUAGUAGACGAUCACUUCCUUCACCUCUCUUGUACAUUGUAUGCUCGAGUGGGGCUUUCUCAAAUCCAAGAGAAAUCAAAGUCCGAUCAAGUUUGAUGUUCCACGCCCGAAGUGUGAAAAGCGUAGGUUAAGCGUAUGCAAUGGCUGCAGGGACGCGUUCAUGUUAUAUGGGGGCCCAACGCCAGAGAUACACAAGUUGGUUAGGUCUAGGAUUGAUCUCCAAGUAAUCUAACAACCAUGAGAUCUUAUCUCUAGACCUACCGGUUUACAAAGAGUUGGACACGGUUUAUACACCACCGUAUCCUAACUAUACAAUGUUUAACACUCCCCCUCAAUCACAACUAUCUAAGUUGAGAUUGUGUCGAAAUGCUUCUAACUGCCUAAGAGUAAGCGGUUUAGUAAAGCCAUCAGCAACUUGAUCACCUGUAGGUAUAAACCUAACAUUCAGCAGCUUGUCGGCAACACGUUCUCGAACAAAGUGAUAGUCAAUCUCAAUAUGCUUAGUCCUGGCAUGAAAAACUGGAUUAGCAGCUAAGUAUGUAGCACCAAGAUUAUCACAGGGAGGCUGCCUUUGGAUGACGUAUCCCAAGUUCAUUCAACAUGUUCUGAACCCAAAUAACUUCGGCAGUGGCAUUGGCUAGAGCUUUAUAUUCUGCUUCGGUGCUCGACCUAGAGACCGUGGGUUGUUUACGAGCACUCCAUGAUACUAGAUUUCCUCCAAGAAAUACUGCAAAGCCUCCUGUAGACCUUCUAUCAUCUGGGCAUCCUGCCCAAUCUGCAUCAGAAAAAGCACUUACAAGCAUUGAAUCUGACUUACUGAUCUUGAGUCCAUGACUCCUUGUCCCUUGGAAAUACCUCAGUAUCCUCUUUACCGCUGUCCAGUGUGUAGUACUAGGAGCAUGCAAGAACUGACAUACCUUAUUUACUGAAUAACAGAUAUCUGGUCUAGUUAACGUCAAAUACUACAAUGCUCCUACAAUACUUCUAUAUUUGGUGGAGUCUUCUGCUCCAAGUACUUCCCCAUCAUGGACAGAUAAUUUUUCAGAUGUAGAUAAAGGUGUAGAAGAAGGUUUGCACCCUUUCAUACCUAUUCUCUGGAGUAUUUCCUGCACAUACUUUCCUUGUGACAUCAUGAUCCCACUGGGUACCUUUUUAACCUCAAUGCCAAGGAAGAAGUGUAGAUCACCUAGGUCUUUGAGAGAAAAAUCUUUUCUCAAGUCCUUAAGAAGAGCUUCAACUGCUUGACUUGAUGAGCUAGUAACAACUAUAUCAUCAACAUAGAUCAGCAUAAAAAUAGUUACUCCAUGCUUAUGAUAAACGAAGAGUGAUGUAUCCCCCUUGGAUGGAACAAACCCUAGGGAUUGCAACUUGAAGGACAAACGAGAAUACCAGGCUCUAGGUGCUUGUUUCAGACCAUACAAUGCUUUAUCAAGUUUGCAAACAUAGUGAGGUGAGUGAGGAUGCUCAUACCCUGGAGGUUGCCGCAUAAAUACUUCCUCUUCUAGAACGCCAUGCAAGAACGCAUUCUUCACAUCUAGCUGUCGCAUGCACCAAUUACGAGAUACAGCUAUUGACAGAAUUAACCUGAUAGUGACAGCCUUGACAACAGGGCUAAACGUAUCCUCGUAAUCCAAGCCAUAGUGUUGCUUAAAACCCUUAGCAACAAGACAUGCCUUAUACCUGUCUAUAGUGCCAUCAGAUUUUCUUUUUACUUUAUAAACCCAUUUACAGUCAAUGAUAUUCUGGCCUGUAGCAGGAGGAACAAGACGCCAUGUCUGGUUCUUGAUGAGAGCAGCAAAUUCCUCAUCCAUAGCAGCUUUCCAUCGGGUAUCACCAAGAGCUUCAACAAGGCUUUGUGGUUCACCUGUGGAACAGAACGAGCCCCAGCGUACACAGCCAUCAGUAUAUACCUUCGGUUUGAGAAUACCUCCCUGGGCACGUGUGUGCGCUCGAGCAGGCGGAGGAGGUGUAGGACGAGCAAGCUGUUGCGGAAGGCGCGGUACUGUAGCCGAGACAGGGGAUUCGUCGAAGGAGUCGUGUAGCGAACGUGAAACACCCGAGCCGGCAGUAUCGUCGGCUGCAUGCGUGUCGGACGACCCGACAGGCAUGGCGGAGUGUGCAGCAGACAGGAGGCGAUCCCGAGGCGCACAUGCAGAGGCUGCUAGCGACGCGGGAGCGGCCGAGCCACGUGGGGGCGUAGGCGACGCGGAAACCGUCGCUGGAGCGCCUGAGCCACGCGGGGGCGGGGGCGACGCAGAAACCGACGCGACACCGCCGAAUCAUGCGCCGCGUUCGGCCGACCGGGAGGGGGCCCGCCUGGCCCUGCCGAAAAACGACCGACUGCCACGGGUGGUGACCCCCGACCGUGGGAGGAUCUACUGGCAGCGUCAGCGCCAGGAGUUGCGGUCCCCGAGGCCGGAAUGGAAUCAGGCGCAGGCUGGCCCGGAUCUGGAACUGAUUCCGAGGCGGGAUCUUCUGCGGAGGCACCGGGAUCUGCUGAGAGCAUAAAAUCACGCCCUGUUGCGCUGUUUCCUGCAAAAUCUUCCUGCACACUAGAAUCUGACGGAUCAUCAGGGUUAGUAGUAUGAGACAUUGUCAUGUGGUCAUCAGCAGUAUCUACCCCCCUAGCAAGGAAUUGUGGUGAUGGGAGGAGGUGGGAGGGAAGUAAAACAAGCUCUUUACGAAGUUGUGCACCAGCAUUAGGAUGGAGUGUAGCAAAAGGGAAAACUUGCUCAUCAAAUACUACGUCACGAGAGAUGUAGACUCGACCAGAAGUAACAUCAAGGCACUUAUACCCUUUGUGCAUUGUGCUGUACCCUAGGAAGACACAUUGUUUGGAGAGAAACUCAAGCUUGUGUUUGUUGAAGGGACGUAAGUACAGCACACCCAAAAAUGCGUCAAAAGGUGUAGUUGGGUUUUGUAUGAAAAAUACGCUCAAGAGGGAUUGAUUAUGGAUGAUCCUACUAGGUGUGCGAUUAAUAAGGUAGACAGCGGUAAGAAAAGCUUCAUCCCAAAACUUGAGGGGCAUAAAAGCAUGGGCAAGGAGGGAUAACCCAACUUCUACAAUGUGGCGAUGUUUUCUUUCAGUAGAGCCGUUCUGUUGAUGAGCAUGGGGCUGGAGACAUGGUGGGUGAUGCCAAUAUUUUCAAAAAACACAUUGAGUUUUUGGUAUUCACCACCCCAAUCUGUUUGCAUAGCAAGAAUCUUUCGAUCAAAGAGACGCUCAACGUGUUGCUGGAAAACAUGAAACUUGGCAAACACAUCAGAUUUAUGCUUGAGUAAAUAAAUCCAGAUAAACUCGCUGAAAUCAUCAAUGAAGCUAACAUAGUACUUUUGCUUUCCUACAGAAAGGGGUCCAGGCCCCCACACAUCAGAAAAAACAAGCUCUAAAGGAGCUUUGGACUCACUAGUGGAACGAGUAUAAGGGAGUUGGUGGCCAUUUGACAUGAAUCACAAACUAACAAGUGAUCCUUUUUAUUGGACACAGGAAGACAAAAAUCUCUAAGAAUUUUAUGGACAACCGGCAAAGCUGGAUGCCCUAGACUCUUAUGCCAUCUUGAAGUGGAGGGUUUGGUCACACCAAGUGCUUGUCGAUGUGGAGGAUCAUGGCGACCAGAAAUUGGAAACAGACAUUUUUUUACUCUUGCUUUGAAGGAUUGUUCUCCGAGUGUCCCGAUCCUUGACAAAAACAAUUUCAGGGUAAACUUCAAGAAAGGCAUAAUUAUCAUUGAUAAGUUUGUGAGCAGAGAGAAGACUUUUGUCAGCUAGAGGUGCAUGAGGAUAUUGUUUAAGUGCAGGGAACCAUGGGGAGUAGACAAAACAGAGUGACCAAUAUGAGCAAUGUCCAUACCUUGACCACUUGCAGUGUAGAUUUGAUCUGUCCCGGUGUAGCGAUCCCGAACAGCUAGCUUCUCAAGCUCACCGAUGACAUGAUCUGUCGCGCUAGUGUCCAGAUACCAGUUGGUAUCCACUCCAUAGGACCCCGAAGUUUUGGCAGCAUUGGCAGAUUUGUUUCCACCCCCACCUCCACUGCCAGCCGGGUUACCCACAUUGUUGUUGAAGUUGCGAUCGAAGCGCUUUUUACAGCGCCACGCACCGUGCCCGCUCUCUUUGCAGAUCUGGCAAUUCUCCCGAUUGUUGUUGUCGCGGUCACCACCACGGUCGCCACGCCCGCCACCAUUGCCCGAGUUGUCGAAGAAGCGCACACCCGUGUUGUUGUUGUUGAAGCCACGGGGACCACCAUUGCCGUUCCCAGAACGACCGUAGCCACCCCGGCCACCUCCCUUAGCAGCCAUAUUGGCCGUGUAGGAGGCUGUCUGGGUAGUGAUCCGUCCCUCUACAGCAAGCAGGAGGGAGUACAGCUCUCCAAGACCGAUCGGUUGAUCAGUGAUGGUGCGGGUUGAGAUAGCAGAAACGAACCCGUUGUACUCGGGUUCAUGCAUCAGCCCUUGGAGGAUGUGCGACACCACGUCGUCCUCAUCAAGGUGUUUUCCAGCAGCAGCAAGUUCAUCAGCGAGCCCCUUCAUCCUGGUGAAGUAGGCGGCGGCGGAGAGAUCACCUUUGCGAGUGGAGGCGAUCUGUGAGCGGAGUUGGAUGAUGCGCGCCCUCGACUGCGAUGAGAAGCUCUGAAGAAGCUCCUUCCACGCCUCGGCAGUAGUCUCGCAGUUACUGACCUGCAUCAGUACGUCGCGAGAGAGGGAUGCCAGCAGAAAAGUCAGUACCUGCUGGUCCUGGGUCACCUAAACGGCAUGUUCGGGGUUGGAAGUAGCGACGAUCUCCUUCUUGCCGGCAACUUCUUUUUCCAGAAGGAGCUCGGCGCUGGGUUCCUUGUUUGAUCCAUCAAGGAACCCCAUCAUACCGGCGGCACGGACGUGCGGCAGGACUUGGGCUCUCCAUACAAGAAAGUUCUCUCUUGUUAGAUUCUCUGUGAUGGUGUGGCCGAGAGAGGCGAUGGAGGGAGAGGCCAUGGUGAUCGCAGAGGAGGAGGUGGACAUGGCGGCGGCUAGAUGUAUUGGAAGAGACUAGCUCUGAUACCAUAUGAAACGCGUAGGUUAAGCGUAUGCAAUGGCUGCAGGGACGCGUUCAUGUUAUAUGGGGGCACAACGCCAGAGAUACACAAGUUGGUUAGGUCUAGGAUUGAUCUCCAAGUAAUCUAACAACCAUGGGAUCUUAUCUCUAGACCUACCGGUUUACAAAGAGUUGGACACGGUUUAUACACCACUGUAUCCUAACUAUACAAUGUUUAACACGAAGGUCUUGCCGUCGCCCAUACAAAACUUUGUGCGCCUUCAAUACCUUGUGUUCUUCUCCCUCUUUGAUGAAGCUUGGUGCUAGAUUCACAUACACAUCUCCUUCCAUCUCACCGUGCAAAAACGUAGAUUUUACAUCCAUAUGAUGUAUCUUUCAUGAUUCUUGAGCCGCGAGAGCGAUGAGUAAUCUCAUCGAUUCCAUCCGCGCAAUGGGAACGAACACUUCUUUGAAGCCCACACCUUCAUCUUGCAUGUCCUCUUUGACCACUAGCUUCGCCUUGUGCUUCACACAAGUUUCUUGAGCUUCUUUCUUGAUCGUAAAUACCAACUUGAGCUGCAUGGUUUUUUCAUUGUUGGGAAGAUCCACAAGCUCCCAUGCAUUGUUGUCGUGUGGAUGUGGAUCGAUCCCAACUCUUCCCUCAUAGCAUGACGCCAACACUCCUUUGUAUUUGCGUCUUCAAAAUCUGUCGGUUUCUCGGUAAUUGCUAGACACCUUCGCUGCUCCCUUUCAUUUUCAGCGGGUCAACUGUCUGAACAGUUUUCUCUAGAUAGAGAUGUAGCUCCGGUUGAAGCAACACGGAUGUAGAUGGCAGUGUCCUUUCUUCCAUUUCCACAGGAACUGCAUUACCUCGCCGUUCCUAUCUCUUCUUGUUGCAGUGUGCGUGCAUGGCAAAACUGCACACACCAUCUCUCCUACACCUCCACUGAACGAGCCACCUUCCAGUGGCAGCUCGCCAUGUCCAGCUAGUUUCCUGGUGCAUACUUAUCACCAUCACAUGGGGAGCGCCCAACAGUUGUUGUUGCCUCUUUGCAUGUGUCACACGCUGCUUGUGAGCUGGCCUGGCCACCAGGCCGUGUGUCCACUUCUGAGCAACUCGGUUGGCUGGGUAGGCCAUCUCCUUUCGGCCCGCCCGCUCCAACGGUGUAACAGCUGCCUCCAGAACUUCCCGAUCGAGCGCUCGUAGAACUCGCUUCAUCAGAACAAGCUCCGUCACCACCUAGCUUGCAUGUUCUGCUCAGCGACACAUCGCAUGUACGCUUUGCCUCUUCGUGGACUUUUGACAUCACGUCUUCGUCUAUUACUAGACAACGUAACAUGGCUUGUGCACACGUGCUUACUUUUGCAUCAGCAUACUUUGAUUCGUGGUUUUCAGGCGUCACGUAUGCCCAAGUAACGUCCGUGACCAUCGCAUCGACACAAAGUUCAGAAUUAUGUCUCACGUCAGUAGCUUCGACACAAGUUUUGAAAUCACCCCUCAUGUCUGUAACAAGGCCGCUUCUCCACGGCCGAACACAUGCAAUGAGCGAUUCCUUCGCUCCAACAAAGUUGGCACUUACACCCAUAGCAUUGAUGUAAGUUUCGGAAUCACCUCCCGCAUCCGUAGCAUCGAUAUGGGUUUCCGAACCAUGAUCUUGAGAGCAAACUCUUCCUUCACGCAGUGCGGCAAUUUAUUUAGCCGACACUUGAAGAACUGGAUCCUCCUCGUCCACGAGUUCACACAUCAACAUCAUGUCACCUUCAUCUCCUUGAUGGACCAUGAGCGCCUUCUCCUUUGGGGGAUUCUUGCACUCCGACUUGAAGUGCCCAAUGAUGCCUUAAUUGUGACACUUAUCUUGCGCUUGUCGAACUUCUUCUUCUCCUUCGGAGCGCCAUCGCUAGCGUCCUUUUGAUUUUUUUUCGUUUGGCACACGAUCUUGGCGAGCGUAACUGCUAGAGCCCUCACCUUCUCUCCUUGAGUCUAGCGCCUGCCACUGAGCCCGCGCGAGCAUGAUAAGCUCAUCGUUCCUCCCGUCCCCGAGAGUGUACCUCAAACGCUCGUCGUGAGCCUUAUAGCGUCCGACAAGAUCAUCAAUACAGAGGGUCGCAAGAUCGAUGCACUGCUCGAUUGCCGUGACAAUUUGCAGGUACCGGGGAUGAGCCGCGCGCAAGAACCGACGGACAACCGAGGCCUCCGUGAGGUUUUCUCCAAAUGCGCGGAUCCGAUUGACGAGAGUUGCAACCCGUGAAGCGAACGCGUCCACGGACUCAUUGUCGCCCAUGACCAAAGUCUCAUAGUUCCGUAAGAGAGUUUGGAGAUUGGCUUGCUUGACGGGGUCGUGUCCCUCAAACAUGAGCUUCAAGGUAUCCAAAGCCUCAUUCGUCGUUUCUUUGACGAUCACGUGUUGAAGGACAUCCAUCGGCAUCACCGAAUAAAUCAUCGACGCCGCCUACCGAUCCUUCCGAUGCUCAGCUCCCUCCUUCUUGAAAGCGUCGCCUCCUGGAUCGAUUGCGUCCCACAACACGUUGGCGCGGAGACGACACUCCAUGAGAGCCUUCCAGAAUCCGAAGUUCUCGCGAUCAAAUCGUGGGUACGACAAACUCGCCGGAGCAGCAAAUACUUUAGCCGCACCGAUGUACUCCGCCAGCUGCUUGGCCUUGUCAUCCUCCGACAUGAUCUUCCGUUACUAGAAUAUCAACCUUGCUCUAGAUAUUAAUUGUUGGCCCAGACCUAACGCCGAGUACUUUCCGGCGACGGUAACGACGGACGAAGACGAAGCCGAACAAAGCUCCUUGACGAACUCGACGAAGUUCCUUUGCGUCGAGCUGUAACCGCUAGCCGGAUUAUCGGUUUCUGGAGGAGACGCGCACGUACGCGUAACCUAAGCAGGCAGGCUAGCAGGUGGAUGGUUUCUCAUGCACACGUUCGUAGCAAUUUGGUUGCUGCCUUGAUCGAUCGGAACUAGCAUCGCCGAGACACACACGCGAGAACACGAGGAUAUGAUGGCUACGGGAGCGUGUCGCUCCCGACUUUCUUCUUUGUAUUGAUCUGAUUUCAAUCUGAUGUUACAAAUUCCUAUAUGGUGACAUAGAUAUAUAUAUUAGCUAGCUACAGCCAAUACAAUUCCUAUAUGGUGACCGUGUCCUAGUCCGACCCGGCUAGGGAAUCACAAGACGUAAUUAACUCCAACACCCGAGCACGUCUGUCUGAUAGGCCUGGCCCACCAUCGAUCCCAUCAAUGUCCCAAAAAAUAACCACUCUCGACGCCUCGUUCCGAACCCUAGCUCUUUCUCUCUUCCUCCAUCUCGUGUUCUCCCGCUUCGAGCCCGCUCCAUCGAGUAGAAUGUCGAGUACCGACAGCCGCUCCGAUGACUCCGACGUCAACCCCGACGAGCUGGCCCUUCGCAUCGCCUUGGAGUGGUCCAAGGUGCAGACCGGCGGCAACUUAGGAUCUGGAGCUAUGCCGCCACUCCCGAGACGGUGGAGCGCGGAUGCCGGAGCUGGACCCUACCGUCCCGCGCGCAACUUCGACUGCAAGGCUGCAUAGUCCGCAUAGGCCUCACGUCGUGUCCUCCCCUCGCCAGGUGCUGCUCCAGGCGGGCAGCGCUGGGUCCUAGUGUCCACGCCGCCGGGCAGCGCCCGCAUGCGUACUCCAAAAUCGGAGGCACGUGCCGCCCGCCAUGAGAGGCGGCGGGCACUAGGAUGAGGGGAAGCACAACAGUCUGCGCGGCGGCACCGCAGGAUGCCAGCAGAGCCCGAUGAGAACGAAUGUCUCCUCGCAAGGGUGUACCUCCGGUCCCUCACGACGGCGGAGACGGACGCUCGGUGCUACCGACGGAAGAAUGUGAAGUUGUUCCGGCUUGCUAUUGAGAAAUUGGUGUGCGAGGCGAAGGAGACAGCGAAGGAGAAGGCCCGACUGGCACGAUUGAAGUGCGAGAAAGACAUGGCGGUCUUGCGGAUAAAGGGGCUCAUCGUCCUCUUCGAAAAUGACUCGGACGACAGCGACAACGGCAUCUUCUCCUCUGACGACCAAGAUCCUCCGCCAACCGCGGACGGCUACAGUUGCCUCGGCGAUCCAAAGGGCAAAAGUACGGCGAGGAAGUGGUGAUAUGCCCCCUCCCCCCUACGCAUUCUUAAUAUAGUUUUUUAGUGAUGAUAAACUAUGUCCUGCGAACUCGAUGAUCUUUUGAGUGAUGAUGGAUUUCCGUUUGCCGCAAAUCUUGUGUUCGUUUCCUUCCGAUUUUAUUUUCCGAUCACGUAGAUUAUUUCGACAUGCAUAUGUAGUAUGAAUAUAGGACGCCGGAAUGAGACAUGUGGAUGUGUUUUUGGAAAAGGAGGUUCAAACCCCCGGCCUCUCCAUCAAUCGAUGCAUAUGUCCAUCUUUAUUAAUUAUUCAACAUAGGUCUAACAAGAACAUACAGAAAACCAUCUGAAGCCAUCACUCACACCUACGAAACUCGAUAAUGUGGAGUGCUCUCAUUCCUCAUAUCUAAAACCGGUGCCGUCACUGAUACACCCACAUAACGUAUCGGAACCCACAGCCGGUGCAGCAGACAUAAAGCGUACACCACAUGCACACGUUUUAGAUGCCGCCAUCAUCAUCAGGCCGCUGACCCGUCUUCAAGAGAGAGAUCUGUAUCAUCCUUGCCAGUCCGUCCAUCCGUCGACGCAACCACGGCUCGUCAGUCCAGACGUGUAGAUUUCGGAAGAUCUGUCGUGUGUAGCACCUGUUGACCAGGCAUGGCACAGCGUAGCACCUAUUGGUCAGGCAUGACUUGACAUCUCCACCGAAAGCUCCGUGCAAGAUGAUCGACGCCACCACGGCGCCAAACAGCGCCACCUCCCUGCGCUCAUUCGUCCAGACACGAAGAUUGUCGAAGAGCUGUCAUGCAUAGCACCUACCAACCAGGCAUGACUCAGCGUAGCACCUGUCGGCCACGCAUGACUUGACAGUUCCACCAAAUCUUCGGGCCAGACGAAGCCGCUCCAUAUCCUACCUCUGUCAUCCAGCGCUGCUCCACAAACGAUGCUCCCAAGAGAGAUAAGGCACCGCAGUACCGCCAUCGUCCGAUCUGGAAAGUCGGAUCUUAGGGUUUCCCCCGAAGUAGUGUUGGAAUUAUGCCCUAGAGGCAAUGAUAAAUAAGUUAUUAUUAUAAUUCUUGUAUCAAGAUAAUCGUUUAUUAUCCAUGCUAUAAUUGUAUUGAAUGAAGACUUAGAUACAUGUGUGGAUACAUAGACAAAACACUGUCCCUAGCAAGCCUCUAGUUGGCUAGCCAGUUGAUCAAGGAUAGUCAGGGUCUUCUGACUAUGUACAAGGUGUUGUUGCUUGAUAACUGGAUCACGUCAUUGGAAGAAUCAUGUGAUGGACUAGACCCAAACUAAUAGACGUAGCAUGUUGAUCGUGUCAUUUUGUUGCUACUGUAUUCUGCGUGUCAAGUAUUUAUUCCUAUGACCAUGAGAUCAUAUAACUCACUGACAGUGGAGGAAUGCUUUUUGUGUAUCAAACAUCGCAACGUAACUGGAUGACUAUAAAGAUGCUCUACAGGUAUCUCCGAAGGUGUUCGUUGAGUUAGUAUGGAUCGAGACUAGGAUUUGUCACUCCGUGUGACGUAGAGGUGUCUCGGGGCCCACUCGGUAAUACAACAUCACACACAAGCCUUGCAAGCAAUGUGACUUAGUGUAAGUUACGGGAUCUUGUAUUACAGAACGAGUAAAGAGACUUGUCGGUAAACGAGAUUGAAAUAGGUAUGCGGAUACUGACGAUCGAAUCUCGGGCAAGUAACAUACCGAAGGACAAAGGGAAUGACAUACGGGAUUAUAUGAAUCCUUGGCACGGCACCUUCCAAUCCUAGUUGGACUAGGAUUGGAGGAGGAAUCCUCCUCCCCCCCUUCGGCUGACCCCCUUGGGGAUCCUUGAGCCUCAAGGCAAGGCCCCUCCCCUCCCACCUAUAUAUACGGAGGUAUUAGGGCUGAUUUGAGACAACUUUGCCACGGCAGCCCGACCACAUACCUCCACGGUUUUUCCUCUAGAUCGCGUUUCUGCGGAGCUCGGGCGGAGCCCUGCUGAGAUUAGAUCACCACCAACCUCCGAAGCGCCGUCACGCUGCCGGAGAACUCAUCUACCUCUCCAUCUCUCUUGCUGGAUCAAGAAGGCCGAGAUCAUCGUCGAGUUGUACGUGUGCUGAACGAGGAGGUGCCGUCCGUUCGGCACUAGAUCGGAGCGGAUCGUGGGACGGAUCGCGGGACGGUUCGUGAGACGGUUCGCGGGGCGGAUCGAGGGACGUGGGGACGUUCCACUACAUCAACCACGUUUAUUAACGCUUCUGCUGUGCGAUCUACAAGGGUACGUAGAUCUGAAAUCCCCCUCGUAGAUGGACAUCACCAUGAUAGGUCUUCGUGCGCGUAGGAAAAUUUUUGUUUCCCAUGCGACGUUCCCCAACAGUGGCAUCAUGAGCUAGGUUCAUGCGUAGAUGUCAUCUCGAGUAGAACACAAAUGUUUUUGUGGGCGGUGAUGUGCGAUUUGCCGCCCUCCUUAGUCUUUUCUUGAUUCCGCGGUAUUGUUGGAUCGAAGCGGCUCCGACGGACAUUACUCGUACGCUUACGAGAGACUAGUUUCAUCGCUACGAGCAACUCCGUUGCUCAAAGAUGACUGGCGAGUGUCGGUUUCCCCAACUUUAGUUGAAUCGGAUUUGACCGAGGAGGUCCUUGGAUGAGGUUAAAUAGCGAGUCAUAUAUCUCCGUUGUGGUGUUUGCGUAAGUAAGAUGCGAUCCUACUAGAUACCCAUGGUCACCACGUAAAACAUGCAACAACAAAUAGAGGACGUCUAACUUGUUUUUGCAGGGUAUGCUUGUGAUGUGAUAUGACCGAGGAUGUGAUGUGCUAGCUCGUGUUAAUUGCACACGGAAUAGGCUCUAUAUCCUCAACCAUGAUCAAUCUCAACCGGAGUGUUGGCUCGCCAAGAGUGAUGAUGAUUCAUGGUUAUGGCGUGCUAGAUUUGGACACAUUAACUUCUACGCCUUGAAGAAGAUGUCAAAGAUGGAGAUGGUAUCCGGGAUGCCAGUUAUCGACCAUGUUGAUCGAGUAUGUGACGGGUGCUUGGUUGGAAAACAGCAUCGCAGGCCGUUCCCUGCUCAGUCUAUCUAUCGUGCAAGUGAUGCACUCGAGCUGCUCCACGGUGAUCUAUGUGGCCCUAUCACCCCGGCAACUCAUGCGGGGAAGAAGUAUUUCUUCCUCGUCAUAGACGACUACUCGAGAUAUAUGUGGGUCACUCUCCUACGAUCUAAAGAUGAGGCAUUUGAAGCGUUCAAAAACUGAAGGCUCAAACGGAGAUGGAACACAAGCUGAAGGUUCGCGCUUUACGGACAGAUCACGGCGGAGUGUUUACAUCAAACAAAUUCAACGAUUACUGCGAGAAGAUUGGUAUAAAAAGGUUCCUCGCGGCACCUUACACGCCGCAGCAGAACGGGGUCGUUGAAAGGCGCAAUCAAACCGUCGUUGACAUGGCAAGGAGUUUACUCAAGAGCAAGAACCUACCGGGCACUUUUUGGGGAGAAGCUGUCUCGACGGCAGUCUAUCUUCUCAACCGGGCUCCAACGAAGGCGGUGAUCGGCAAGACUCCGUAUGAAGCAAUUUACGGACGUAAGCCGAAUGUGUCUCAUCUACGGACAUUCAGGUGCGUGGCACAUGUGAAGACGGCGGAGCCGCACCUCUCAAAGCUUGUCGAUCGUAGCACUAAGAUGGUAUUCAUCGGAUACGAGAGGACUUCCGGCACCAAGGCAUACCGCUUCUAUGAUCCACAAACCAAGCGUCUACUGAUUUCACGCGACGUCGUGUUUGAAGAAAACCAAGCGUGGAAUUGAAGCGCCGCAGCAGAGGAUGCUCUUCACGGUUGAAUUUCCAACUAAUGAUGAUGCAGGGGAGGAUGUCCAGGUGGUUGGUAAGACGUCUAACCAAGGUGACCACAAUGGUAGUGAUCAUCAUGGUGCCGACACCGACGGCGACGUGCAUAGGUCGCAAGGAGAUAUCGACAACGAAGCGCACGAUACGGGUGGAGAUCUCGACGACAACAUCAACAACGAGGCGCAUAGUGACGACGACAAUCAAGAUGAUGGUCAUGAUCACGACGACUACGCCGACGAUGCGGAUGUCGAUGACACGCUUGGGACUUAGCCAUCUUCCUCAAGUGCAUCAACAUCGACACAAUUUGUGUCAUCUCCUUCGCAAGCUACAACGGACUCCUCAGGGCCUCGUCGCUACAAGACACUCAAGAAAGUCUACAAGUACACAAAGCCAGUUACGCUCGAGUACUCCGGACUAUGUCUGUUCGGAGUUGAGGAGUCGGCGAACUUCGUAGAGGCUAGCAAAAGACCUAGUUGGACGCACGCCAUGGAUGAGAAGAUGAAGGCGAUUGAGAGCAAUGACACGUGGACUUUGGUAACCCGAUCUCCAAACCAAAAGGCGAUAGGUUUGAAGUGGGUUUACAAGCUAAAGAAGGAAACGGAGGGUGCCAUUGUCAAGUACAAGGCAAGACUCGUUGCAAAGGGCUACGUACAACGUCAAGGAGUUGAUUAUGACGAGGUGUUUGCACCAGUUGCUCGACUCGAGACAGUGAGAGUGCUCCUAGCUUUGGCAGCACAAGAGGAUUGGAAGGUUCAUCAUAUGGAUGUUAAAUCCGCUUUCCUCAACGGUGAUCUCAUCGAAGAAGUGUACGUGGAACAACCCCUCGGCUACGAGAAGAAAGGCGAAGAAGGGAAAGUUUACAAGCUCAAUAAAGCACUUUACGGGUUGAAGCAAGCACCAAGAGCUUGGAACUCAAAGUUAGACCGAAGUUUGGUCUCGCUCGGGUUCAAGAGAUGUCCCCUCGAGCACGCAGUCUAUACAAAGAACUCCAAAGGCUCAAACCUGCUAGUUGGAGUUUAUGUCGACGAUCUGAUUAUCAUCGGAGAUAGCGUACAAGAAAUUGAACGUUUCAAGGCGCAAAUGAAGAACAAGUUUAGCAUGAGCGAUCAGAGAUUACUCAGCCAUUACUUGGGCAUCAAAGUGAAGCAAAGCUCCGGAGAGAUUUCCCUAUGUCAAUCGGCUUAUGCGGUCAAGUUAUUGGAAAAGUGUGGCAUGUCAGAUUGCUACGAGACACAAGUUCCAAUGGACCAACGUCACAAGUUGAGAUAGCGUAGCUCAAAUCCGCCGGUGGACACGACAUUGUAUCGAAGCGUUGUGGGCAGCCUAAGAUAUUUGGUGCAUACCCGACCUGACUUGGCUUAUUCGGUCGGGAUCGUGAGUCGUUUCAUGGAGAAUCCGACAACCAAGCACAUGAGCGCGGUCAAUCAAAUCUUGCGCUAUGUGAAAGGCACCAUUAAUCUUGGUUGCAUGUACAUAAAGGGAAAGGAAGGAUUGAUCCUUCGUGGAUAUUCAGAUAGUGACAUGGCAGGUGAUGUUGAUGACCGAAAGAGCACAACGGGCAUGGUUUUCUACCUUGGCCCAAAUCCGAUUAGCUGGAAUUCUCAGAAGCAAAAGGUGGUGGCACUGUCUUCAUGCGAGGCAGAAUACAUAGCGACAAGCACAGCGGCUUGUCAAGCAGUUUGGCUGAGAAGACUCCUAGCUAUUCUUGCAAAGCGGGAGGUGCAGAAGGUGUCAUUGAAGAUCGACAACCAAGCUGCAAUUUCGUUGUGCAAAAAUCAUGUUCAUCACGAAAGGAGCAAGCACAUAGAUACCCGGUUCCACCAUAUCCGGGAGUGCAUUGAAGAAGGGUUGAUCGAGGUUCAUCAUGUGAACACGAAAGACCAACUUGCCGAUAUUUUCACCAAGUCCCUCGGUUGACGGAAGUUCAUCGAGAUGAGCUAGAAAGUUGGAGUGCAAGAAGUGAAGUCAAGCAACAAGAUUAAGGAGUAGAAUGUAGAACUUAAUCAUGUUGCUCAUGUAGGAUUAGGAAAGAAAGUCAAACCGAGUCCUAGUAGUAUUAGGAUUCCUAUUCCUAGUCUAUUUCGAUAGUCCCUUGUGGAUGUGUAUAAAAUACACCCUAGGGGUGUUCCUUGUAACACCAGAAAAAACGAAAAGCAAUACAAAGCAAAGGCUCGAGACGGGCCUUUAGCCAUCAAAUCCGUCGAUCAGUUUUAUUUGUGUCGCUAGUUACGCAAGUUCCGUCAAGUAGCCGGCCGAAGCAAGAAUCGCGUAGGCACGCCUCUACGGCUGCAUAUGCACGUUCAAAACCCAACAGUCUGAAUUUCAGGUGCAAAUGUGCUAUAAUUAAAGACUGAAAAAUACAUUGGAAAGAUGGUGAAGCAGCUCACAUGCAUGGAGAAGGGCACAUACCGCCGGGGAGCACAUGCUGCCGGUGUGGCCGGAAAACUAGGAGCGCCGCUUAAUAAGUAAAUUCAGAUCAUCUACAGCCAACCUGACGCCUCGUAUCCAUCUCAAAUGCCUGAGCACACCGCUCGGUCACUACUCAGUCAUGAAAAUAUGAUUCAGAUGGACCUUUUAAAACUGUCUUAUACAUCCGGGCUUACCGACAUCCUUCUUAUCCAACCUAAAUAUAGGGUGGAUAUGGGUGACCUGGUCAUGCCCGAGCACGUAUGUCUGAUAGGCCUGGCCCACCACCGAUCCCAUCAAUGUCCCAAAAAAUAACCACUCUGCACGCCUCGCUCCGAGCCCUAGCUCUCUCUCUCUUCCUCCAUCUCGUGUUCUCCCGCUUCGAGCCCGAUCCAUCGAGUAGAAUGUCGAGUACCGGCAGCCGCUCCGAUGACUCCGACGUCAACCCCGACGAGCUGGCCCUUCGCAUCGCCAUGGAGUGGUCCAAGGUGGAGACCGGCGGCAACUUAGGAUCUGGAGCUACGCCGCCGCUCCCGAGACGGUGGAGCGCGGAUGCCGGAGCUGGACCCUACCGACCCGCGCGCAACUUCGACUGCAGGGCUGCAUAGGCCUCACGCCGUGUCCUCCCCCCACCGGGUGCUGCUCCAGGCGGGCAACAUUGGGUCCUAGUGUCCACGCUGUCGGGCAGCGCCCGCAUGCGUACUCCGAAAUCGAAGGCACGCGCCGCCCGCCAUGAGAGGCGGCAGGCACUAGGACGAGGGGAAGCAGAGUAGUCUACACGCCGGCACCACAGGAUGCCAGCAGAGCCCGAUGAGAACGAAUGCCUCCUCGCAUGGGUGUACCUCCGGUCCCUCACGACGGCGGAGACGGACGCUCGGUGCUUCCAACGAAAGAAUGUGAAGGUGUUCCGGCUUGCUAUUGAGCAAUUGGUGUGCGAGGCGAAGGAGACAGCGAAGGAGAAGGCCCGACUGGCACGAUUGAAGCGCGAGAAGGACAUGGCGGUCUGGCGGAUAAAGGGGCUCAUCAUCCUCUUUGACAAUGACUCAGACGACAGCGACAAUGGCAUCUCCUCCUCUGACAACCAAGAUCCUCCGCCAACCGCGGACGGCUACAGUUGCGUCGGUGAUCCAAAGGGCAAAAGUCCGACGAGGAAGUGGUGAUCUGCCCCCUCCCCCCUACGCAUUGUUAAUAUCGUUUUUUUGGUGAUGAUAAACUGUGUUCUGCCAACUCCAUGAUCUUUUGAGUGAUGAUAGAUUUCCGUUUGCCGCAAAUCUUGUGUUCGUUUCCUUCUGAUUUUAUUUUCCGAUCACGUAGAUUAUUUCGACAUGCAUAUGUAGUAUGGAUAUAGGAUGCCGGAAUGAGAGAUGUGGAUGUUUUUUUUUGGAAAUGGAGGUUCAAACCCCCGACCUCUGCAUCAAUCGAUGCAUACAGCCAUCUUUAUUAAUUAUUCAACAUAGGUCUAACAAGAACAUACAUCAAACGAUCUGAAGCCAUCACUCACACCUACGAAACUCGAUAAUGUGGAGUGCUCUCAUUCCCCAUAUCUAAAACCGGUGCCGUCAUUGAUCCAUCCACGUAACGUAUCGGAACCCACAGCCGGUGCAGCAGACAUAAAGCGUACACCACAUGCACAUGUUUUAUACGCCGCCAUCAUCAUCAGGCCGCUGACCCGCCUUCAAGAGAGAGAUCUGUAUCAUCCUUGCCAGUCCGUCCAUCCGUCGACGCCACCACAGCUCGUCAGUCCAGACGCGAAGAUUCCGGAAGAUCUGUCGUGCGUAGCACCUGCCGACCAGGCAUGACACAGCGUAGUACCUGUCGGCCAGGCAUGACUUGACAUCUCCACCGAAAGCUCUGUGCAAGAUGAUCGACGCCACCACGGAACCAAACAGUGCCACCGCCUUGCGCUCAUUCGUCCAGACACGAAGUUUGUGGAAGAACUGUCGUGCAUAGCACCUACCAACCAGGCAUGACUCAGUGUAGCACCUGUCAGCCACGCAUGACUUGACAGUUCCACCAAAUCUUCGGGCCAGACGAAGCCGCUCCAUAUCCUGCCUCUGUCAUCCAGCGCUGCUCCACAAACGAUGCUCCCAAGAGAGAUACGGCACCGCAGUACCGCCAUCGUCCGAUCUGGAAAGUCAGAUCUUAGGGUUUCCCCCGAAGUAGUGCCCACCAUCAGCAACCGUCCAGGACGCACAUAGUUUCCACCACCACUCAGCCCUCAGGGCGACGCCUUCAGGAAGGUCACGACGUCAAGGACGCCGCCGCCGCCCACUGGAGUUAGGAUUUUCACCCGAUAGGUAGUGACAUAGGAAGUGAAGGAGCAGACGUAGACCGACGUCUCCAGGAAGAACAACGGCGCCCUUGAGCGUCAUCGUCGGCGCGGCCGGCCAGGGCCGACCAAUGGGUUUCCCCUUAUGUGAAUCUCCUCCACCAGCUUCAUCUGCGGCCACGCCGGCAACGUCAGGAAACCGCAGGAGAGAAGCACACCGCAGGUAUCUGGAUCAAUGAAAAUCCAAUGUGAACAGUGACGAGUACCACCACCCUGCGCUGGCCGACGGCGUCCGGGCACCGGAUCCAGAAUGAUCUGAGCCGAACUCGACGGCGCAAGCGACCACCAUGUCUUGCCCCUCCCGCAGCCGCCACUCCGCGUCGCAAGAACGAACCCCAGCCCUCGACGCGCUACGCAUGCCGCCGCUAGGAUCCACAUGCCGCGCCGCCGCACCACGCGCUAGUCUGGUGCCUCCUCACGAACGGUCGUCCCACGCCAGCCAUGUCGUGUGAAGGGGAGAUGAUCCCCGCCACCACCCCUGUCGGCGGCGAGGAUGAAGGAGGAGCGAGGGAGGACCGGCAGCGGCGGCUAGGGUUACCCCCUGGUCGCCCACGGGGGCGACGACAGGGGGUUACGGGGGCGACGGGGAUAUGUUCGCGAAGUUGUUGCUCGCGGACAUGAGACACGUGGAUGUGGAGAGGGAAAUUUAAGGCAUGAUCGGUCACUGUCUACGGACACGCCGAACGCGUCCAUGGACAUUUGAGGAAUCAAAUUUGCAAGAUCCGACUAUAGAUGCUCUUACACCAGCCAGUAGUUACCGAUUGGCAAUCCACCGUCCAUCAAUUUCACUAAUAUCUGUGACACGAUAUAAAGUUGUAAAUCCAUUAUCUGUCCUAUACUCAAUAAAUACAGACAAGACUGGCAUGCACUCACACAUUUGUAUCAAAAUACAUGCAUGUCAUGCAGCUUUGUACAAGAGAGAAAGUUGGGAUGGAGACCGAUUCAUGCACGAUUCUCUCUCCCCACAUAAAUGACAUUGACGUUCCGAACAAGAUCAUGUUGAAUGAUUGGGCAUUUUGAAUGAUUGUCCUAUUUUAAACCAAUGCCCAUUUUUGAAACCUUUUAUAUAUUUCAAAUCAUGUUGACAAGACGUUCCGAACAAGAUCAAUACUGGUUCUAUUUGAAUUACUUUUUAUUUUUUAUAUUUCAAUUGUCUUUUGAAUCACUUUCAUAAAACUAAAGAUACUUUUGUUAUUUCAUACAAGUGUUAAUGAAUGUUGUGUUAAUUUAAAAAAUGUAUUUCAUCAUUUACAAAAAACUAAUUUCAGUCAUUUUAAACAUUCGUUUCACUUAUUUUAAAAGACACAUUUCACUGAUUCGAGAAAAUAAUAUUUCACUCAUCUCCAAAAUAUGGAUCUAGGGCCAUCAAAAAUGAAGGAUUUAACUCAUCCCAAAAUUUAUUUCACACAUUUCAAAAAAUUGAUUUUACUCAGUUCAUGAAACAGCUGAUUUUACUCAUUCGAUACAACUGAUUUCAGUCGUUUCAAUUGAAAGAAAUACAUGUUUCAAUAAUUUUCAUAAUCAAAUUUCACUCAUUUCGAAAUAAAAAUAUUCUUGUUUCAAGAAGCUAGUAUAUGUCAAAUAAAAAUAAACUUAAAAAUAUUUCAUAAAAGUAACCUCACUCAGUUGAUUUCAAUCGUUUCAAAUUAAUCAUUUAAAGUAUUUCAAAAAACCGUUUUCACUCAAUUCAAAAAACUAUGACUUCACAAAACAAAUUCGCCCGCUCCAUAAAACAGAUUUCGCUCGUUUCAAAAAUUAGAUUUCACUUAUUUACAAAACGAUUUCACUCAUUCAAACAAUGAUUUUACUCAUAAAUUAUAAAACAUGUGAAUGAUGAAUGUUAUGUCGGUACAUUCCUGAACCGGAGAAUAUAAAAAAUGGACUGCUAUCAAUACCGGGUUACACAUAAAUUAUAAAACAUGUGAAUGAUGAAUGUUAUGUCGGUACAUUCCUGAACCGGUAAAAAAGUGUUUUGCGGGAGCGCCGCUCGACGAUUACGAGUGAAACCGACGGCAUGUGAUGUGAUCAGCAACUGUCGUGCCCAACUUUAUAUCGAUCGAGAUCUCCUUUUUCUUGCUAACUUUGGUGGGUAAAAUAUAAAGACGAGGGAACAAACAAACGUCGUUGAAUCCUGUGGAUUCCUACCAUAGUUUUGGAGAACCGGCCUACCCUGCCGCUCUCGGAAAGCGUGCGGUGCUCUGCCCCGCCAACAAACUCGUGUCUGUCCAAGUGCAAAACGAGUGAGCAAAGCAGAUCAGCAGAGCACCCACGGUUUGCGCCCAAAACCAUGCGUGGCCGCCACCUUUUCGUUCCCCUAUAAAUUCAGGACAACCUUGGAAUCAAUCAAGCAACAGCCAGCCCAUCUCGUCUCUCUCGAUCACACCUCCCAUACCUACUUAGCCAGUGAGCAGUAGCCGUUUCCGUCGAAGAUGUCGUCGGUCACCAGCGCCCACCUCGACCACAAGCUCGCCCUCGCCAAACGCUGCUCCAGAGGUCGGUCGGUGAUUAAUCAGCAUCCACUCCUUCAGAGUUCAGUUGAGCAUGUACCGGAGCAUCCAUCUUGAUACUAGCGACGUAAUUUUUGUUGUUGUUGUUUGGCAGAGGCGACGCUUGCCGGAGCCAAGGCGGCGGCCGUCGCCACCGUCGCGUCUGCAGUCCCGACGGUACGUACGUACGUGGUGGAGCAGUGCUCCUUUACUACUGUUGUUUAGUCUCUGCUAACUGAUCGGCAUGUGUGGUGCAGCUGGCCAGCGUGCGGAUGCUGCCGUGGGCCAAGGCCAACCUCAACCCCACCGGCCAGGCCCUCAUCGUCUGCACCGUCGCCGGGAUGGCCUACUUCAUCGCCGCCGACAAGACCAUCCUGUCGUUGGCCAGGAGGCACUCGUACGAGAGCGCACCCGACCAC